GGUUGGGUAUCGCCCGAUGAUUGAGCCGAUGAACCCCGCCAGGUCCGGAAGGAAGCAACGGUAGUCAGGAAACUUCAUGCGAGCGGAAUACUCAGCCCUU
Molecule: signal recognition particle RNA, 100 nt
Filed under: Puniceicoccales bacterium
Lineage: Bacteria; Pseudomonadati; Verrucomicrobiota; Opitutia; Puniceicoccales
Description: signal recognition particle sRNA small type
Rfam family: Bacterial small signal recognition particle RNA
About the family: The signal recognition particle (SRP) is a universally conserved ribonucleoprotein involved in the co-translational targeting of proteins to membranes. Archaeal SRP consists of a 7S RNA and homologues of the eukaryotic SRP19 and SRP54 proteins. In most bacteria, the SRP consists of a 4.5S RNA and the Ffh protein (a homologue of the eukaryotic SRP54 protein).
Source: RNAcentral